AGCGGCAGGCUUAAUACAUGCAAGUCGAACGGUAACAGGUCUUCGGACGCUGACGAGUGGCGCACGGGUGAGGAACACGUACACAAUCUACCUUAUACUGGAGAAUAGCCCCGGGAAACUGGGAUUAAUACUCCAUAGUCUUUAAUGAUCACAUGAGAAAUAAAGUAAAGCUUCGGCGGUAUAAGAUGAGUGUGCGUCCCAUUAGAUUGUUGGUGAGGUAACGGCUCACCAAGUCGACGAUGGGUAGCUGGCGUGAGAGCGCGACCAGCCACACUGGCACUGAGACACGGGCCAGACUCCUACGGGAGGCAGCAGUAGGGAAUAUUGGUCAAUGGACGAAAGUCUGAACCAGCCAUGCCGCGUGGAGGAUGACUGCCCUCUGGGUUGUAAACUCCUUUUAUAUGGGAAGAAACCUCUGGAUUCACUCCAGAGCUGACGGUAUCAUAUGAAUAAGCACCGGCUAACUCCGUG
RNAcentral lists this ribosomal RNA (471 nucleotides) under uncultured bacterium. RNAcentral describes it as "bacterial SSU rRNA". It matches the Rfam family "Bacterial small subunit ribosomal RNA", at positions 39 to 507 of the family's 1533-position model. The record is from RNAcentral.